AUGCAAGCCAACGAGCAAUGGCCUUCUAAGCCAUAGGUCGGGGGUUCGAGUCCCUCAGGGCAGGCCA
This 67-nucleotide transfer RNA is filed under the name Herbaspirillum rubrisubalbicans. Its description in RNAcentral is "tRNA-Arg". It matches the Rfam family "tRNA", at positions 15 to 71 of the family's 71-position model. Rfam says of the family: Transfer RNA (tRNA) molecules are approximately 80 nucleotides in length. Their secondary structure includes four short double-helical elements and three loops (D, anti-codon, and T loops). The record is from RNAcentral. Lineage: Bacteria; Pseudomonadati; Pseudomonadota; Betaproteobacteria; Burkholderiales; Oxalobacteraceae.